CAAAGAGGAGGAAACAGGACACCCUUGCUCCUCCUGGCUGGGCCAGCAGGGACAGCCAGGAGCUGAGCACACUCUGCCUGUGGAUCCUCCUCAGCUCUGCCUGUGUCAUCCUGGCUGCACUGAGACCAUGGCUCUGCUCAGAGCGAGGCCAUCCCAGGCUCUGAUGCUCACCUUGCUCCUCUGUGUGCUGCUGCUGGAGGCCCAGGGAGGGUACCCCAAACAUAAGUGGCUUCCAAAAUCACCCUGGGCUCUAGAAAACAAGAAGUGUAAGAAGUGGCCCAGAGCUGAUCUAUGCAGCCACCACUGUUCAUACUUCCAGAAGUGUCAAGACAAGAGCACAUGCUGCUUAACCUUCUGUGGCAACGUCUGCAUGAAGCUGUGAGGGGGCGGGUGGGCUGCACUUCCUGUUCCCCCAUUCCUCUAUUUAGAUAGAGUCCUGGCUGAAGGACCUCCGAUCACAGCAGGAGACCAUCAUCGGCAGUGCUCAGACCCUCCCCACUGUCUGGACCCCUUGUCCCUGUCAAAUAAACUGGAAUGACACCUGG
This is a long non-coding RNA of Sciurus carolinensis (gray squirrel), 545 nucleotides long. RefSeq lists it as uncharacterized. The record is from RefSeq and is a predicted model, not a curated record. NCBI's taxonomy places the organism in Eukaryota, Metazoa, Chordata, Mammalia, Rodentia, Sciuridae. The transcript is spliced from 2 exons.